GAUGAACGCUGGCGGCGUGCCUAAUACAUGCAAGUCGAGCGAACAGACGAGGAUCUUGCUCCUCUGACGUUAGCGGCGGACGGGUGAGUAACACGUGGAUAACCUACCUAUAAUACUGGGAUAACUUCGGGAAACCGGAGCUAAUACCGGAUAAUAUAUUGAACCGCAUGGUUCAGUAGUGAAAGACGGUUUUGCUGUCACUUGUAGAUGGAUCCUCGCCGCAUUAGCUAGUUGGUAUGGUAACGGCUUACCAAGGCAACGAUGCGUAGCCGACCUGAGAGGGUGAUCGGCCACACUGGAACUGAGACACGGUCCAGACUCCUACGGGAGGCAGCAGUAGGGAAUCUUCCGCAAUGGGCGAAAGCCUGACGGAGCAACGCCGCGUGAGUGAUGAAGGUCUUCGGAUCGUAAAACUGUGUUAUUAGGGAAGAAAAAAUGUGUAAGUAACUAUGCACGUCUUGACGGUACCUAAUCAGAAAGCCACGGCUAACUACGUG
RNAcentral lists this ribosomal RNA (497 nucleotides) under uncultured bacterium. Its description in RNAcentral is "partial 16S ribosomal RNA". It matches the Rfam family "Bacterial small subunit ribosomal RNA", at positions 28 to 507 of the family's 1533-position model. The record is from RNAcentral.